GCCACUGGACAAUGAAAGCAUAUUCAAUAGGGACAGGAAUUUGCCCUGCUGCAGGUUCAGACAAAAGGCCACCGACGACCCCUCACGGCCCCUCAAAGAGUUGUUGCAAUAGUUCUUAACCUGCAGAGAUCAUGGCACUUUCUUUCUAUAUGAGGUUUCCGAUCAAAAGUGACCAAUCCCACAGUCACAUUUGUUGAAAAUUACAUCCCGCA
Molecule: long non-coding RNA, 212 nt
Filed under: Mytilus galloprovincialis (Mediterranean mussel)
Lineage: Eukaryota; Metazoa; Mollusca; Bivalvia; Mytilida; Mytilidae
Source: RNAcentral